Arachis duranensis is the source of this 500-nucleotide long non-coding RNA. RefSeq lists it as uncharacterized. The record is from RefSeq and is a predicted model, not a curated record. NCBI's taxonomy places the organism in Eukaryota, Viridiplantae, Streptophyta, Magnoliopsida, Fabales, Fabaceae. The transcript is spliced from 2 exons.
CAAAAAAUUUCAACACGCAAGAUCGAACGGUGCAACCUCCAAAGGAAAACACAAGGCAAUUAUAUUUUCCACUAACACACUUCAACACAAACGAUCAAUCUAAUUACAGUUACAAUUACUAAAUUAGCAACACAUAAAGUAACAGUGAUAGAAGAUAUGCUUGUGGUGCUUUUGGACUCUCCCUUCACCAUCAUCCUCACCAUCAUCCUUCUCAUCUUCUUCUUGCGCUUCGCCCUCGUCUUCAUCUUUCUCCUCCUCCUCUUCAUCUUCUGCGCCAACCUUGUUCAUCUCCUUUUCGACAUCCUCUCCUAUUAGAGAUGCGGUUGCCACGGCAUACUCACCCGGGCACAGAAUAUUUGAGGUCAAACCUUAUAUUUGAUCAGAUAAUCGUUUGUGACGUUUGAAACUAUAAUGGAAUAAAAUAAUUAUUGAUUGAUUAUUCAUACUUUGUAACACCAUUCAAAUAACAUGCACUUUAUAUAAGUGAAGAUUUAUAUGCA